GACAGAGGGGGCAAGCGUUGCUCGGAAUCACUGGGCGUAAAGGGCGCGUAGGCGGGAUGGCAAGUCAGGCGUGAAAGCCCUGGGCUCAACCCAGGAACUGCACCUGAAACUGGCGGUCUUGAGUGGUGGAGAGGGAAGUGGAAUUCCUGGUGUAGAGGUGAAAUUCGUAGAUAUCAGGAGGAACACCAGCGGCGAAGGCGGCUUCCUGGACACCAACUGACGCUGAGACGCGAAAGCGUGGGGAGCAAACGGG
Molecule: ribosomal RNA, 253 nt
Filed under: uncultured bacterium
Lineage: Bacteria
Description: partial 16S ribosomal RNA
Rfam family: Bacterial small subunit ribosomal RNA
Source: RNAcentral